AGUAACACGUGGGGAACCUGCCCCAUGGUCUGGGAUACUACUUGGAAACAGGUGCUAAUACCGGAUAAGAAAGCGGAUCGCAUGAUCAGCUUUUAAAAGGCGGCGUAAGCUGUCGCUAUGGGAUGGCCCCGCGGUGCAUUAGCUAGUUGGUAAGGUAAAGGCUUACCAAGGCGAUGAUGCAUAGCCGAGUUGAGAGACUGAUCGGCCACAUUGGGACUGAGACACGGCCCAAACUCCUACGGGAGGCAGCAGGU
This 254-nucleotide ribosomal RNA is filed under the name uncultured Lactobacillus sp. RNAcentral's name for it is "partial 16S ribosomal RNA". It matches the Rfam family "Bacterial small subunit ribosomal RNA", at positions 109 to 354 of the family's 1533-position model. Lineage: Bacteria; Bacillati; Bacillota; Bacilli; Lactobacillales; Lactobacillaceae. The record is from RNAcentral.